CUGGAGUUCAGGAAGGAGGUGUGUAAGAUGGAGAGCGGAUGUUCCUGUUUGACGUCCAUCUAUGCAUCAGUAAGGUCCAGUAAUCAGGGCGAGCAUGCCAUUUUAUCACAGAUUUGGUGAUCAGGCAAAAAGCCUCACAAAAUGCAUCAGCAUCGUCGGAGGAAGGAAUUUCCCCUGCAACCAGAGGGUUGUCAGUUUAAGCCCCGGUGUCGUUGGGCAAUACACUUAACCCGCACUUCACCUGCCUACUGAUAGUGGUCAGAGAGCCUGGUGGCACCAGUGGACGGCAGCCUCAUUUCUGUCAGUGAGCCCCAGGACAGUUGUGGCUACAAUGUAGCUUGCCACCAUCAGUAUGUGAGUGUGUGCUUG
Cyprinodon variegatus (sheepshead minnow) is the source of this 369-nucleotide long non-coding RNA. RefSeq lists it as uncharacterized. The transcript has 3 exons. The record is from RefSeq and is a predicted model, not a curated record. NCBI's taxonomy places the organism in Eukaryota, Metazoa, Chordata, Actinopteri, Cyprinodontiformes, Cyprinodontidae.